ACGAACGCUGGCGGCGUGCUUAACACAUGCAAGUCGAACGGUGAAAGAGGAGCUUGCUCCUCUAGAUCAGUGGCGAACGGGUGAGUAACACGUGAGUAACCUGCCCUUGACUCUGGGAUAACCUCGGGAAACCGAAGCUAAUACCGGAUACGACCCUCGGAGGCAUCUCCAGGGGGUGGAAAGAAUUUUGGUCAAGGAUGGACUCGCGGCCUAUCAGGUAGUUGGUGAGGUAACGGCUCACCAAGCCGACGACGGGUAGCCG
Molecule: ribosomal RNA, 262 nt
Filed under: Leifsonia sp. ISO411_OTU965
Lineage: Bacteria; Bacillati; Actinomycetota; Actinomycetes; Micrococcales; Microbacteriaceae
Also listed under: 5 other names
Description: partial 16S ribosomal RNA
Rfam family: Bacterial small subunit ribosomal RNA
Source: RNAcentral